RNAcentral lists this small RNA (1724 nucleotides) under Drosophila pseudoobscura pseudoobscura. RNAcentral describes it as "GA32968". The record is from RNAcentral. Lineage: Eukaryota; Metazoa; Arthropoda; Insecta; Diptera; Drosophilidae.
CAUGGUAUAGCCUAUCGCCCUCAGAGGCUAGAUGGUUAUGAAGCACUGCCUUUGAUUGGUUCAACUAUUGGGACUUCUGUCUAUAUCUUCUAUGUUUUUCAUUCUCCUCGUUCUCACUCUUUCCCUUUCGUCUUCUUAGACUCUUGCUACUCUGCCAAAUGUGUCUAAUUAAAUUUCACAUUCCAUUGCAUUUAUCCCUCGGGACCCACAAGCACUCCAUCCUUUUCUUGGCCAACUUCUUAUAGCUGUGAAAGAAAGAGAGAGAAAAACACGCACAGAUUCUAGUUGGAGAUGGUAGCGGAGACUCACAUUUAGUGGACAAGUUAAUGGCUCCAACAUUUUGCUUUGAUUUUGCCAUCCUCAUACACUGACUCACACUAAGGCGCACACCCACACAAGAUGGGAGCCCCCUUCCAUUAUAAUGAUUUUGCCAUUGAACGUGUUGUCAUUUGUUUUAAUGGAAAAUUCUGAUGAGUUUUCUUUUCUUUUGGCUCUGAGAAUUCCCAUAAUCAUAAUCGAACAAUGACGGAGGAAGCAAGAGGCAGGCAAGCGAAAAAUGUGUACGGGUAGCAUAACCUUAGACAGAGGGAGCAAAUGCAUUUUAUGACUUUUUUAUGCAUUUAACUGCCACAAAUUAGCCAUUCCGAAAUGAAGUUAAGUUGAGGCAGGGCCACGCCCCACAACACACACUCACACACACACACACACACACGAACAAACCCUCUCAGAUUUUACCCAUUUGCAAGCCCAUUUCAAAUUGUCACUUAUCAAACAAACUGUCAGUUAAAUUAUAUUUUUGCCCAUCGCAUUUGUAACCAUCAACGUCGCUGCAUCCCCGAGAGAGUGCCUGAGUUGCCAGCAGCAGAAGCAGCAGCAGAGGCAGGAGCAGCAGUGGAGAAACUGAGACGCCUUCAAAGCUGCUCGGAAAGGGAAGUACACUGAAAAACAAAGUACGAAGGCUAUGCUACCGUUAAUUACUACUCAACAGAUGCGAAUAUGAUAAGAAAAUCGAUGGCAUUACUUGAAUAUUGUAUUGUUUAUGGAUUAACAUCAAUAAAAAAAAAAACACUCUAUAACCGUGCUAUUAUGGAGAUUUGUUUCUUUGACUUCAGAUUGUGCUUAUAGCUGCCGUUUAUUGAGUUUCAGGUUUUUUCCUGUGUAUUCCCUUAGCUGUAUGUCUGUGAGGGUGUACCACACCACUACCCACACCAGAGACCGUGCAAAUAUUUGUGGCUUGAGCCAAAAUGCUCCCAUGUUCCAUUUGCCUUUUACGAGUAGCUCUGUGUGUGGGCCUGGCCGCAAAACUAAAACUGCAGGGAGAAAACUCUUUGAGGCAUUCAUUAGUUGGCUAAAGAAAAUGUCACACACACACACGCAGACACACACAUGAAAGUUUGGAAAAAAGAAAGUAUUACUCUCACAAGAGAUAGCCUGACUCGCUCUCCUUCUAGGAAUCUCCGUCCCUGUCCAAGUUGUAAUCCAUUGAGCAUUAUAAAUUCUACACGAGGAUUUAAAACGCCCAAAUUAUGUCUGCUGCUGCACUUGGCUUACAGACGUUUCCGCCCAAUGCGGCACGAAUGGGCCAAGACAGUAGCCUCCUCACGACUUCUCAGGAUAUUAGCAAAACGGAGCUUGGCAGUUUACUUGCUUGUGGGAAAUCGAUUUCAAAAUGCCAAAGUUAGAAGAUUACAAGUCCCAAGUUUCACAUUUGGAAAUAACCCAAC